RNAcentral lists this ribosomal RNA (253 nucleotides) under uncultured bacterium. RNAcentral's name for it is "partial 16S ribosomal RNA". It matches the Rfam family "Bacterial small subunit ribosomal RNA", at positions 524 to 776 of the family's 1533-position model. The record is from RNAcentral.
UACGGGGGGGGCAAGCGUUGUUCGGAAUUACUGGGCGUAAAGGGCUCGUAGGCGGCCAACUAAGUCAUACGUGAAAUCCCUCGGCUUAACCGGGGAACUGCGUCUGAUACUGGAUGGCUUGAGAUUGGGAGAGGGAUGCGGAAUUCCAGGUGUAGCGGUGAAAUGCGUAGAUAUCUGGAGGAAUACCGGUGGCGAAGGCGAGUCUCUGGUCCGCUUCUGACGCUCAUGUGCGAAAGCUAGGGGAGCAAACGGG